This 250-nucleotide ribosomal RNA is filed under the name uncultured prokaryote. RNAcentral's name for it is "partial 16S ribosomal RNA". It matches the Rfam family "Bacterial small subunit ribosomal RNA", at positions 524 to 773 of the family's 1533-position model. The record is from RNAcentral.
UACGUAGGUGGCGAGCGUUAUCCGGAAUUACCGGGUGUAAAGGGUGUGUAGGCGGGUCGGCAAGUCAGGCGUGAAAUGAGAAGGCUCAACCUUCUAACUGCGCUUGAAACUGUCGAUCUUGAGAGUGGGAGAGGUAAACGGAAUUCCUGGUGUAGUAGUGAAGUGCGUAGAUAUCAGGAGGAACACCGGUGGCGAAGGCGGUUUACUGGACCACAACUGACGCUGAGACACGAAAGCGUGGGGAGCAAAC